UCUCUUCUCAAGCCACUUACAAAUCUUUGACUCCUCAUUUUCGUGCAUGUCAAUUUUAGUCAAAGUAGUUUCAAGAUAUUUGAAGUACUCAUCUACACUUCUAGGUCCUUGUUGAAGUCGUUAGAGCUUCAACAAGAGUUCCUUCCUAUACUGAGGAUGAACAAAUCUCGUGCACAUACAUUCUUUCAAAUCAUACCAAGAGACCACGGUUGGCCUCUUGUUUAGCCCAAUGUCCAUUACAAUUUGGUGCCACCAUUACAUGGCAUAGUCUAAAAAUUCUAGGGAGGAUAGCUUUACCUUUUGGUCCUCUUGGAUCUCAUAUACAUUGAAAAUUUUCUCAACCUUAGCCUCCCAUCCUAAGUAAAUAUUUGGGUCACUUUCUCCACUAAAGCUAGUUAAUUUUACAUAGGGAAAAGAAAUUUUAGAAGGAUGGUGUUGGUGGCGCCUUUCAUCAUAUUGGUGAAUUCUCCAAUCUUCAUCUUCUUCAUGGUUGUCGUAAUGGUUAUAGCUCCUUGAGCUCUUUUUUUCUCCCACCUCCUUCCUCUUGGUUGUCUUUCAUGUGUCGUUUCAAGUCUUUGAAGUCUCUCCUCCAAUUGCCGCAUUUCUUCCUCUUUUUGGGCUAAGGAUCUCUAUGUUGUUGCAAGCUCACCCAUAAGAAAAACCUUUUGGGGAGAUUGAGGUUUGGAUGAUUCCCCUGAAGAAAGAAGAGCCUUAAAAAUUGCACAAGGAGAACAAACAAUUAGUGAAAGAAAAGUUAAUAACCCUCUCCUCACUUGUGUCACUCUUUUGUGUAGCAAAGAGGAGAAAAGAUCCAAGCACUCAAAAAGAAUUUUCUCUCAACAAAGGUCUAUCUUGGGAUUUCAAUCUCUCAAAUGAAAAAGGACAAAUCCCUUAACACUUUGUCUCAAAAGAACCACAACAAAACUAAAGAAUUUUAAAAGACAAACAACAAAAGCUCAAAACAAAGAAGCUAAACCAAGUUGGGAAAAGAGAUGAUGACAAAACUUUUAAAGAAAGACAAGCAAGAAAAAGCACACAAAAGGACUCUAAGAUACUUACUUGACUUCUAACAAUGAAGUUUUACUCUUGCUAGAAAUUGUAAAAUCAAAAGGGUCCAAUUCCACAAUGUUGAAAUCAAUUUGCCAAAUAAAAUGAAUCCACUUUUUUUAUAAAGGGUGGUCUUGCCAAAGAUGUUUGCGCAACUUGUCCCUUUUUUUAUCCUUGUGUUUGGUUUAUGGAAAUAAUAUAUCCAUAAUUCUUAUCAUGCAUAUUUUCAUUCACUUCCAAUUGUCACAAAAAAGUUUAGGAUUCAAAUUAAAUGAACACUUGAAAUCUAUAUUUGGAACUAAAUCUACUUCCAUUUAAACAAAUUUCUAGUUAUUUUUUUUAUACCUUCAAAAUUAAAAGCAAAAUAAGGAAGCAAAAUAAGGACUCUUAGACACAUUAAGAACAUAUGACUCAAAAAAAAAAAUAGGUAAGAACAAAAAUUGGACACAAAAUAACAUUCAAAAGCGAAUUGAAAGCUAAUGAACAAAAAGAAUGCCGAAAUGUAAAAUGCAAGAAAGUAAAGGAUGAUUUUAAAGUUGCUUGAAUGUAAAGGCAAGAAUUAAAAAGUUCAAAAAAAGUAAAGUGCCAAAUCAACUCAAAGCAAAUAUGCUCAAAAAAUGAAAGCUCUGAUAACCACAUGAUGUGAGUUGAUUUUAGAUUUAUCUAUUUUAAGAGUGACACUUUGUUUAGCAAAUAUAAGGCGAGACCUAGGGAAGAUCACCACUGGACACGAACUUAACCAAGUGGUUAGUAAGUGUAAAGGUUCACUUCCAAAGGCAAAAGGAAAAACACAUUAUAUGGUGAAAAUUAUGCAUAUUGCGAAAUUGAAAGACAAAAUAUGAUGAAGGAAGCCGAAUUGAAAUUGGAAGAACAAAACAAGAACAUAAACACAAAGAACAAAGGUGUAAUGGAAAAUGGAAGAAGAGAUGAAGGAAAGAAAGCUUAUGCUAGUGGACAAGAGAAGAACACGCCACUUGGAGUGUGGAUUCUCCAAGAUAAGUGUGGAGGGCCGCCACUUGAAGAGCUCUCAACUAUCAC
RNAcentral lists this long non-coding RNA (2085 nucleotides) under Phaseolus vulgaris (common bean). RNAcentral describes it as "long non-coding RNA (PVUL_LNC002217)". Lineage: Eukaryota; Viridiplantae; Streptophyta; Magnoliopsida; Fabales; Fabaceae. The record is from RNAcentral.